CAGUCGCCACGGGAAUACGGAGGGUGCAAGCGUUAAUCGGAAUUACUGGGCGUAAAGCGCACGCAGGCGGUCUGACAAGUCAGAUGUGAAAUCCCCGGGCUUAACCUGGGAACUGCAUUUGAAACUGUCAGGCUGGAGUCUUGUAGAGGGGGGUAGAAUUCCAGGUGUAGCGGUGAAAUGCGUAGAGAUCUGGAGGAAUACCGGUGGCGAAGGCGGCCCCCUGGACAAAGACUGACGCUCAGGUGCGAAAGCGUGGGGAGCAAACAGGAUUAGAUACCCCUGUAGUCCCUGUCUCUUAUAA
Molecule: ribosomal RNA, 301 nt
Filed under: uncultured bacterium
Lineage: Bacteria
Description: partial 16S ribosomal RNA
Rfam family: Bacterial small subunit ribosomal RNA
Source: RNAcentral